AGCACCCAUGGGACCUCCCUGGAACCACACAGGCCAUGGGUGAGUAAACAAGAGGCGCUUGAACCUGGAGCCCCCCGGCCUGAACCUGGAGCUGUUCUUACCGAACAAAUAUUAAUCAUGGCAAUUGGGAAAUAACUGAGCACCAACCCUGGCCCAGGCAUUCAACAUCUUGCCAUCCUGAGGUGGUGGCUGAUGCCUGGAAUCCCAGCACUUUGGGAGGCCGAGGCAGGUGGAUUGCUUGAGCCCAGGAGUGCGAGAACAGCCUGGGCAACAUGAGCUUCCUCCUCCCACAGACUCCUCCCAUCUUCCCAGAGGAAUUCAGCCCAUUUCACAGAAGAACAAACAAAGGCACCAAGGGAAAAACACACACACAGUUAAAUGAGGGUAAUGGAUUUGGGGAAGGAAGACCACAGAGGUGAAGCACCCAUCUCAUCACACCAUAUCAAAGGCCCAGCGAAGCCUGCAUUUCUCCCAUCUGCGACAUGGAGGCCAGAGUGGGCCUGACCGCAGGGUCACUGGGGAUUCCAUGGAAGCUGUCCCCACCCGCAGGACCAGGAGGUACAUGCCAAGUCUCCCAUCACAGAAAGAAGAGAGGCCACAGCCAAGUGUAGUCACAGUUUAUUUCUGAUGUGGCUGAAUCUAGGGACAGGCGGGCUGGGCUGAGUGGGGGGCGUGUCGGCGAUGGGGCUAGAACUCCACCUUGCAGGCCGGGAAGGCGUCAUCCUGCAUGGACACCAUGCUGUUGCUGCCCAACACCGUGAUGCCCAGCGCCUGGUGCCGGGCGUGCGUCUCUGCGUACCACGUAUGCAUGGCCACCGAGUCGAAAGUGGGGAUCAGGGUCACCUGCAGGUCACGGUCCCAAUGCUGCUUGCUGGCCAGUAGCGCGUCCAGGACGGCCCGCAUGCCUUCCUCCUUGCGCUGGUCCUGGCCACUGAUG
Molecule: long non-coding RNA, 937 nt
Organism: Homo sapiens (human)
Lineage: Eukaryota; Metazoa; Chordata; Mammalia; Primates; Hominidae
Gene: FCHO1-AS1
Product: FCHO1 antisense RNA 1
Exons: 6
Source: RefSeq, a predicted model, not a curated record